AGCGGCGAACGGGUGAGUAACACGUGGGUGAUCUGCCCUGCACUUCGGGAUAAGCCUGGGAAACUGGGUCUAAUACCGGAUAUGACCUUGGGAUGCAUGUCCUGGGGUGGAAAGGUUUACUGGUGCAGGAUGGGCCCGCGGCCUAUCAGCUUGUUGGUGGGGUAAUGGCCUACCAAGGCGACGACGGGUAGCCGACCUGAGAGGGUGACCGGCCACACUGGGACUGAGACACGGCCCAGACUCCUACGGGAGGCAGCAGUGGGGAAUAUUGCACAAUGGGCGAAAGCCUGAUGCAGCGACGCCGCGUGAGGGAUGAAGGCCUUCGGGUUGUAAACCUCUUUCAGCAGGGACGAAGCGCAAGUGACGGUACCUGCAGAAGAAGCACCGGCUAACUACGUGCCAGCAGCCGCGGUAAUACGUAGGGUGCGAGCGUUGUCCGGAAUUACUGGGCGUAAAGAGUUCGUAGGCGGUUUGUCGCGUCGUCUGUGAAAACCCAUCGCUCAACGAUGGGCCGGCAGGCGAUACGGGCAGACUUGAGUACUGCAGGGGAGACUGGAAUUCCUGGUGUAGCGGUGAAAUGCGCAGAUAUCAGGAGGAACACCGGUGGCGAAGGCGGGUCUCUGGGCAGUAACUGACGCUGA
Molecule: ribosomal RNA, 641 nt
Filed under: Rhodococcus sp. I15A-00856
Lineage: Bacteria; Bacillati; Actinomycetota; Actinomycetes; Mycobacteriales; Nocardiaceae
Description: bacterial SSU rRNA
Rfam family: Bacterial small subunit ribosomal RNA
Source: RNAcentral